Molecule: ribosomal RNA, 820 nt
Filed under: uncultured bacterium
Lineage: Bacteria
Description: bacterial SSU rRNA
Rfam family: Bacterial small subunit ribosomal RNA
Source: RNAcentral
AGAGUUUGAUCAUGGCUCAGGAUGAACGCUGGCGGCGUGCCUAAUACAUGCAAGUCGAGCGGUAACACUUCGGGUGACGAGCGGCGGACGGCAGAGUAACGCGUAGGAACGUACCCCAAACUGAGGGAUAAGCCCGGGAAACCGGGUCUAAUACCGCAUAUUAUCUUCGGAUCAAAGCCUUCGGGUGGUUUGGGAGCGGCCUGCGUAUGAUUAGUUAGUUGGCGAGGUAAAAGCUCACCAAGACGACGAUCAUUAGCUGGUCUGAGAGGAUGAUCAGCCUGACUGGAACUGAGAACGGUCCAGACUCCUACGGGAGGCAGCAGUAGGGAAUUUUCCACAAUGGGCGAAAGCCUGAUGGAGCAACGCCGCGUGCAGGAGGAAGGCCUUCGGGUUGUAAACUGCUUUUAUCUGUGAUGAUUUUUGACAGUAGCAGAUGAAUAAGGAUCGGCUAACUCCGUGCCAGCAGCCGCGGUCAUACGGAGGAUCCAAGCGUUAUCCGGAAUUACUGGGCGUAAAGAGUUGCGUAGGUGGCAUAGUAAGCAAAUAGUGAAAGACUACGGCUCAACCGUAGGUACAUUAUUUGAACUGCUAAGCUAGAGCAUAAGAGAGGUAGCUGGAAUUUCUAGUGUAGGAGUGAAAUCCGUAGAUAUUAGAAGGAACACCGAUGGCGUAAGCAGGCUACUGGCUUAUUGCUGACACUAAGGCACGAAAGCGUGGGGAGCGAACGGGAUUAGAUACCCCGGUAGUCCACGCCGUAAACUAUGGAUGCUAGCUGUUAUCAGUAUCGACCCUGGUAGUAGCGAAGCUAACGCGUUAAAGC